Populus trichocarpa (black cottonwood) is the source of this 2234-nucleotide RNA transcript. It is a transcript of the gene named acetolactate synthase small subunit 1, chloroplastic, with no coding region annotated. Lineage: Eukaryota; Viridiplantae; Streptophyta; Magnoliopsida; Malpighiales; Salicaceae. The transcript is spliced from 12 exons. The record is from RefSeq and is a predicted model, not a curated record.
AACACUUGUGAGCAUUAGAGGCUAGUCAUCUCACCUUCUCCCUUAAAUACAUGUCCUACAGCUAGUGCAAUCAGUCAUGGCGGCUUCUGUUUUACUGCUCUCAAGUCGCAUUACAGCUCAAAACCCGUCCUCUAAACUGGAUCUUGAUGGUGGGUUUUCAAGGAAAAGCUCUGGUUCUGUACAUUUUUUAAGGCCCUCUAUUUGGAAGAACAACAAUGCUGUUAAAGUCUCCUGUGCCAUUAGCAAAGAUAAUGGGAAUGCAGUGUCUGUUGCUGAUUCUGUGCCUACCGUGACUCGCUCCAAGAUGCAACGGCACACAAUUUCAGUGUUCGUGGGUGAUGAAAUUGGUAUAAUAAACCGGAUUGCAGGGGUCUUUGCUAGAAGAGGUUACAGCAUCGAAUCCCUUGCUGUUGGUUUGAACAAGGAUAAGGCUCUCUUUACCAUAGUUGUCUGUGGAACUGAAAAAGUCUUGCGGCAAGUUGUAGAACAGCUUAACAAGCUUGUGAAUGUCAUAAAGGUGGAAGAUAUCUCCAGGGACCCUCAAGUAGAACGUGAACUGAUGCUCAUAAAACUCAAUGCUAAUCCAAGUACUCGUGCUGAGAUCAUGUGGUUAGUGGACAUCUUCAGAGCCAAAAUUGUUGAUAUCUCAGAACAUUCACUUACUAUCGAGGUCACUGGUGACCCUGGGAAGAUGGCUGCUGUUCAAAGGAAUUUAAGCAAGUUUGGAAUCAAAGAACUUGCUAGAACUGGAAAGAUUGCUCUGAAACGGGAAACAAUGGGCGAGACAGCUCCAUUUUGGGGUUUUUCUGCAGCUUCAUAUCCUGACCUUGACAGGAUUCCAUCUGGCGUUGCUCUUGAUAGGAAUUCUACUAACACCUUUGCAGGGAAUGGAGACCUAUCACUUAAUGGCAGCAACACUUCAUCCUCGAAGGGUGAUGUCUAUGCCGUGGAGCCUUACGAUGAUUUCUUGGCAAAUCAAGUUCUUGAUGCUCACUGGGGUGUACUUUAUGACGAAGAUUCGAAUGGUCUUCGGUCUCACACUUUGUCUAUGCUUGUGAAUAACUGUCCCGGAGUUCUCAAUAUUCUCACCGGGGUUAUAUCUCGAAGAGGCUAUAACAUUCAGAGUCUUGCUGUGGGGCAUGCUGAAAAAGAGGGACUUUCUCGCAUUACUACGGUUAUUCCUGGAACAGACGAGUCAAUUGGCAAGUUGGUUCAGCAACUUCACAAGUCAAUAGAUUUUCAUGAGGUUCGCGAUAUUACUCACUCGCCAUUUGCAGAACGAGAAUUGACUCUGAUAAAGAUAGCUGCAAAUAGUGCUGCUAGGAGGGAUGUUCUUGAUAUUGCUAGAAUAUUUCGGGCAAAAGCUGUUGACUUCUCUGAUCACACAAUUACUCUUGAGGGUUUAGACAAGCAUUAUUUUUAAGGGCUGGCAAACUGAAGAAUCAGUUGGUUGGUCGCUUAAGGUCUUCUGAUGAAGGUCUAGGGAUGACAAGGAAUUGGUGAAUGCGUGGUGCUUGAAAGGAUAAGGAUGGCGCAGCGGAGAUUUAAUUAGACUGGUGUUUGGGGUUUUAUUUAAUGGUGUCCUGACUUGCAAAUUUGUGAGAGUAUUGCAUCCUCAAAUACCAUCUCACAUCAUCCUAGUAUUGGAGCAAAUCGAGGGUUUACCCGCUCCUUGUUCGAACGGCGCAGGUCAAGUUUCCUUGUCAUAGAAAAAAUGUAAGAUCUCUGGGGUUUGUGGCAUGAAAAACAUGACAUUUCGUAGUUCUUGUCUUCCUGGAUUUGACUAGUGGAGCAAUACCUGCACAACAUAGUUAUCAAGUCCACCAGAAGCACCGUAAUGCUAAAAUCAAUUCUUGAAUGCUGGAGUUCAAAUUGGUUGGCUGUUUGUCUCAACUUUUUGUAGUUAAAGAGCUCUGAAGGAAUGUGAACUGGGGAUGCCAAGAUAAAUGUCGGCAUUAGUCUUGUUACUUGAACAAUCUGCUAAAAUCAAUCAGUUAUCAACUUGAUAUAACACAUUACUGGUUACUUGCACUUUCCCGAAAGUUAAUCUGGCAACUGAAAGUCCAUUUCUUUUUGCAUUAAAAUCAAGUUAGAGUAUUGCUUUAAGGAUGCCUGUUAUUGCACACUAUUCAGGAGUUUCGCAUUUAUUUUUAUGACAGUAUUAGCCUCUCUCCGUGGUUUAUUCCAAGCUCCCGUUAUUUGUCCUUGUUGUUACUAAUGCUCUAGCCAUUCGA